GAUGAACGCUGGCGGCGUGCCUAAUACAUGCAAGUCGAGCGAACGGACGAGAAGCUUGCUUCUCUGAUGUUAGCGGCGGACGGGUGAGUAACACGUGGAUAACCUACCUAUAAGACUGGGAUAACUUCGGGAAACCGGAGCUAAUACCGGAUAAUAUUUUGAACCGCAUGGUUCAAAAGUGAAAGACGGUCUUGCUGUCACUUAUAGAUGGAUCCGCGCUGCAUUAGCUAGUUGGUAAGGUAACGGCUUACCAAGGCAACGAUGCAUAGCCGACCUGAGAGGGUGCGCGCCCCCACGGGAACUGACACCCGGCCCAGCCCCCCGCGGGAGGCAGCGGUGGGGAUUCUUCCGCAAGGGGCGAAUCCCUGACGGACCCCCGCCGCGUGAGUGAUAAAGGUCUUCGGAUCUUAAACCUCUUUUAUUGGGAAAAAACAUAUGUGAAAGUAUCUGUGCACAUCUUGCCGCUCCCUAAUAAAAAACCCCCGCCUACCUCCGCC
RNAcentral lists this ribosomal RNA (497 nucleotides) under uncultured bacterium. Its description in RNAcentral is "partial 16S ribosomal RNA". It matches the Rfam family "Bacterial small subunit ribosomal RNA", at positions 28 to 507 of the family's 1533-position model. The record is from RNAcentral.